AGGACCUCUCUACAUUACUAGUGCGAACAAACCACUUGUACUAAGCUGCGAUCUAGUCUAAUAAACACGCCGUACUCUGUUAUACUAGCCGAAGAAUUUUUUUAGCCUGCUGCGUUCUGAUUGGUGGAACCAGGCCUCCCACGGAUCACGCCUCUCCACCGUUCAUUCUUACUCGAUCCAACAGUCCCUACUCCUUCUACUAUCUAUUUUGUGCUUUCGUUGGUACCUUAUCCUCUCACACGAACACGAGCACCAUACCAGCAGCAGCGCACUCGAGUACCUUCUAGGCUCUCCGCCGCUGACCGCCGCCGGCUGCGCGACGGGCCGUCGCCCGCGCCUCCCACCACAGCACGCCGCAAUGGAGGCCGAGCGCCCAUGGCGUCACCCGAGGACACCUUCGAGCCGCCGUUCUCCUUCAAAUUCGUCGGGAUCCAGCCUGAUCCGGACGGAUCCGGAUGCCGGCGGCCCAUUCCCGACCUCCCUGCCUCGCCUGGUUUGUCGGCCACUCCGAUGUCGUCAUCUUUGUCACGGGAUCCAGCGCUACCGAUGGCUGGCCUCCUCCUCGCCUGGAUGUGACCCCCCACGCUGUCGCCUCCAAUCCAAGCAGCGGCAGCGAACACCUCGACAAGGGCAGUUUGCCAGAUCAGUGGCCAGAGAAAAGCCAUGGCGAUGAAGUCUGAUUGAUGAUCCGCGAGCGCUCGGCGGCGCUUGAUGUGGUGGAUGCAGAAUAGUAUAGCUCCGGGUAGAGUACUAGGCCAGAUCUGGAAAAAAAUCUGUACUUCCAUUUUUUGUUGUGUAUUUCUUCCUUUUUUGAUAAAGAAGUUAUGUAUAUGGUAUAUAUAUAUAUAUAUGCAAACUCCUUUUUUCUA
Molecule: long non-coding RNA, 869 nt
Organism: Triticum aestivum (bread wheat)
Lineage: Eukaryota; Viridiplantae; Streptophyta; Magnoliopsida; Poales; Poaceae
Exons: 2
Source: RefSeq, a predicted model, not a curated record